AAAGGAAUAGACGGGGGCCCGCACAAGCAGCGGAGCAUGUGGUUUAAUUCGAAGCAACGCGAAGAACCUUACCAGGUCUUGACAUCGAGGCAAAGCCGUAGAGAUACGGUGUUCAGCAAUGAGGCCGAAGACAGGUGGUGCAUGGUUGUCGUCAGCUCGUGUCGUGAGAUGUUGGGUUAAGUCCCGCAACGAGCGCAACCCUUAUUGUCAGUUACUAACGGGUAAAGCCGAGGACUCUGACGAGACUGCCGGGGACAACUCGGAGGAAGGUGGGGACGACGUCAAAUCAUCAUGCCCCUUAUGACCUGGGCUACACACGUGCUACAAUGGUGGUAACAGAGAGGCGCGAGCUCGCAAGGGGGAGCGGAUCUCAAAAAAGCCAUCUCAGUUCGGAUUGUGGGCUGCAACCCGCCCACAUGAAGUUGGAGUUGCUAGUAAUCGCGGAUCAGCAUGCCGCGGUGAAUACGUUCCCGGGCCUUGUACACACCGCCCGU
This 494-nucleotide ribosomal RNA is filed under the name uncultured bacterium. RNAcentral's name for it is "bacterial SSU rRNA". It matches the Rfam family "Bacterial small subunit ribosomal RNA", at positions 903 to 1397 of the family's 1533-position model. The record is from RNAcentral.